UUCUUAUUUAGGAUACUAUAAAACCAUACACUAAAGUUCUAAAAGAAGAUUAAGGGCCCCCCUGUUAUAACAUUUGCUAAAAACUUCAUGUGCAAAAAGCUCAGAGAACUAACUCCAGUCAGAAAAACUAAUUGAUAAAAGCAUAGAAAAAAGGAAAGAACUAACACUCCACACGUUUGUAUGAGAAGUCCAAAUUCGAACAUCCUCCAAAUUUGAGGGUUAAUUAGAUCUGUGAGUGGCAAAUGGUGCAAACAUAAGCAGUAAGUACUCCCUCCCUGUAAUUUUAUUUCAGGUUCUGUUCCGAUAGUGGGCAGUAGGAUUCAAGAGGUCCAAUCUGAAAGAUCGCAACAAUUUGAAAAUGAAGUUGAUUGCAUGCAUUUGAAGGAUCAUGAAAAACUUCUAGGAGAUUAAUAAUUCAAAACCCAUAGUUCAGACACAUUUUAAGAAACUUCUUCCCCUAUUUUUCAUUUUUUCCCUUGUAAUCUCAAUUUGGUUUAAACAACACGAGGCAUGUGUGCACCUUAUUGUUGAAAGUGAAAUAAGUUACUCACUCUUUAGCAUUGCUCGCACGCUUAAAAGGAUCAGAAAUCUACCCCCAUAAAGAUACAAUACUGCUAAUCAUAUGUGGUUGUUUUGAAUUGAGCCAAAUUUCAUUUCCAAAUAUUAUUCCAUUAAUUAGCUAGAACAUUUGAAGAAUAUAACUUUGUUGCAUAUUCUCUCAAAAUGGAAUAUGAAGAGGAAAACAGUCAUUCCAAAUGAUCCAGCUCAACAUUUUUAAGGUUGCUAAUUGCUUCACUGCUUAUUGUAUUUUUAGUUGCCUUAGUAGUAGUGCCACUCGCAUGGCCACAGAGGUUAUGAGCUGAACGACGCUAAUCAAGUGUUGAUUAAGUUGGAAAUAAGUUAUAGCUGAAGCUUGUAUUUUGGGUUCCACGUCUUUAUAUUAUAUUUGAACAUUUUUUGUGAAUUUCAAACAUGAUAGAUCUUAUCGCUUCAUUUUCUAUAGAACAUGGCUAUGAGACUAAGAUAUCCUGCCUACCUAAUUGUAUUCGUAAAUUAUUUUUGUUGUUAACCAAUAACUUUCACUUCUAACGUCUCCCAUUGAGUCCCCAAACUCUUCUUUUAUAUAUAAUGGAAAUAGAUUGUGCUUAAAUGGAUUGUGGAGUCACACACACCCGUAAUGCACCGACACUGUUGAAGUUUUCUAGUUUUCAAUUGCUCGCCUUUGGCUAACCUAUAAACCUCUCUCCCUUCUCCGUUCUUUGCCUAGAAAACUCACCAUAUUUUUUCACCACAUUUUUAACAGCUUUCAUGGCAUCCUUUCUUGCCUACAUACGUCAUUCAAGAUCUUCACUCACUCAUAGUCAUUUGCAACCUCAUGUAACAUGCUCUAUUUUUCUCUUAGCUUGAUCACUAUUCAACCACCGCAACUCCCUGUAGUAAGCUACCCUCCUUUAUUAUCAUUCAAAACCAUCUUCAAUGUCUUCAUUAUACAAUCACUCAUUUUAAUCCACAUAAAAUUUAAAGUAACGUCCAAAAUCCCAAGUGGAGUCCCCAAACACUUGAUGGUUCACUUAUCAUCCUUCAGUUCCACCAUUUCACCUUAAGAUCAUUCAUAUUCCUUUUCAUAUUAGAUUGUUGCCUAAAGAAUAUAUCUAAAACCAAAACUGUUCAGUGAGAUUAAAGGGAUUCAUGAAUCCUCGUACCAAGAAAGACUACCAGCCCAAGCCUUCAUGGUAAAAGUGUUCAUCCUCUGAUCGGGAAAAAAGUGCUUGUUAGUAUCAGAUCACAAGCCUAAGGGUAAUUCUAGAAAGACACUUCAACAUCAUACUUGUUUAAAAAAUCAAAUCCUUAUGUAUCACAUCAAAAGCACCAUGGCCCUUCCCUAUGUGCCUAUUAAUGUCUAUCCUUCAGGUACUCAAUAACACCUCCAUAUCCUCCCAAAAUUUCAAUUUAACCUAAUUUCCUAAUCUCAUUUGUCUAACCACGAAUGCCCGAUGAAUAUCCGACAGAAACUGCUUCUAGAGACAUUGAUGUUUCUAAAUCGUGUAACAAGUGAAUGAUAUACAAACAGAGCAUUAUCUUUUAAUUAUAAUUGCUUCAAGAUAAUAAUCUAAAAUUUCAUUUUUAAGGAGUUACAUCAACUUUCAUAAAAAUUAAAAGCAAGAAAGCAUCAUUGAUCAUAAGAGUUGAACCUUAAUGUAAUUGUCUGGCCACCAACAAAAAGAUCGUGUUAACGUUAUGUACUUCUUGAUAAAGAUAAAUUGAAGAUAUGGCACAUUACACCUUUAAUACAGAUGACACUAAUGGCGAAACUCGGGGUCAUCAGCACAUAUGACAAUUAUUAUGUCAUCCUUUUCAACCUGUAGCCCAAUUCAAUGGAAAAAUUAUUUUUCAAACCAAAUGAAAGCAGUUCCAAAUUUACAUGGGAGAAGGAAUCUAACUAACAACUUGAAGACUACCACAGAUUUCUAAGAUCAUAGAAACACUAAAAAAGUCAACAAUAUGAUGAUUAUAUAUAACAAGUACAGUACAUUAAUACUAUAGCAAAAUUAAAGUAGAUUGAGCUAUCCAAUAGUUAAACACCAAACUGAGGACCAGGCAUUUGAAAUACAUAUAUUUCUUUAAGGAUUAAGUAAUUUCAUUAUUCAUGGAAAAUAGAUAAAAUAAUUAAUAAUGCCACUAGUUUUGUCAAGCUCAUAUUUAACUUUGCUGCCUUUUCCAAUAUGAAUCACCUGCCAUGUAAGUUGAGAUCAAUAAAUGAAACUAUGAAUUAAUUGGUUUAUUGCUUCAUCACAGUUAAGUUUAGAUAUGUUAUAAGAAAAAUUUGACCAACACUCAGGUAAGAUAAAUAUGGCAUGGUGACAGGAUGCCAGGAUACAAGGGAAUACAGAUUUUCAACAGUGAAAAUGUAAGUAUUUCACAUCUAACUUACUCGCGUGGAAGUUAAUAAUGGUAAACAUAGACGGCAUGGUCCGCUCGAUUCUUGCACUGUGUACAUGACAACAAGGGAAUAGCAUAUAGUACCCUUACCACUCUAGCUCACAUAUAGUAAUGCAUAUUUGAUAAACUAAAAAGGAUUUCGCUAUGCGUAAAAGUUUCGAGACCACUCACACGGUUAAAAAUUGCUGGAGCUCCUAGCCUACACAAAUAUCAAAUCAAAGUUAAUCGUAAAACGGAUAAAAUCAUAACCAUGAGGUUAAGGGGGAAAACCUAGAAAAUGGAAACCAUCAAAUACAGUUUUCUUCCCGACAAUCAACAGAAAAAUUGGAAUUAGGUUGAAGGCACAAGCAAAAUUGUCGACGGAUUUUUCUCCCUGUGUGAAGAUGGAAUUUGGAGAGGUUACUUUCGGUGGAGGAGUGAAAGGAGGAGUCUUGGAAAGGAAGAAUGAGAAUUGAGACUCACAGCAGAAGAGCUUAUACGGAUUCCAGAUAUUUUAUUCAUUUAUUGUUAUUAUAUCCUUUAACAUAAGACACACAAAGAAAAAACAAAUAAUUAAACAAAACCAGUUCCAAAUAGGUCAAGUGUGAAAAUCAAUGUGACAAAAUGAAUAGUGAAUUCAAGUUCUCUCUUUUAGGAGGAGUGGUGAAAUAUAUAUAAGAUUCAGUGUCUAACAUGUAC
RNAcentral lists this long non-coding RNA (3618 nucleotides) under Olea europaea subsp. europaea. Lineage: Eukaryota; Viridiplantae; Streptophyta; Magnoliopsida; Lamiales; Oleaceae. The record is from RNAcentral.